This 420-nucleotide unclassified non-coding RNA is filed under the name uncultured Tricholomataceae. Its description in RNAcentral is "sequence contains ITS2". The stretch from base 1 to 153 matches the Rfam family "5.8S ribosomal RNA". The record is from RNAcentral. Lineage: Eukaryota; Fungi; Basidiomycota; Agaricomycetes; Agaricales; Tricholomataceae.
AACUUUUGACAAUGGAUCUCUUGGCUCUCGCAUCGAUGAAGAACGCAGCGAAAUGCGAUAAGUAAUGUAAUUGCAGAAUUCAGUGAAUCAUCGAAUCUUUGAACGCACCUUGCGCUCCUUGGUAUUCCGAGGAGCAUGCCUGUUUGAGUGUCAUUAAAUUCUCAACCUUUCCAACUUUUGUUAGCUGGUCGGGCUUGGAUUGUGAGGGUUGCGGGCUUCUCAGAAGUCAGCUCUCUUUAAAUGCAUUAGCGAAACCUUUGUUGAAUUAGCUCUGGUGUGAUAAUUAUCUACGCCAUUGUGAAACAACUUCUAUUAUGGGGUUUGGCUUCUAAUCGUCCUUUGGGGACAAGUCUUUGACAAUUUGACCUCAAAUCAGGUAGGACUACCCGCUGAACUUAAGCAUAUCAAUAAGCGGAGGCU